UACGUAGGGAGCGAGCGUUGUUCGGAAUUAUUGGGCGUAAAGAGUGUGUAGGCGGUGAUCUAAGUUCGGUGUGAAAUCUCUCGGCUUAACUGGGAGGGUGCGCCGAAAACUGGAGUGCUCGAACGUGGGAGAGGAAAGCGGAAUUCCUGGUGUAGCGGUGAAAUGCGUAGAUAUCAGGAGGAACACCUGCGGUGUAGACGGCUUUCUGGACCAUUGUUGACGCUGAGACACGAAAGCGUGGGUAGCAAACAGG
This 253-nucleotide ribosomal RNA is filed under the name uncultured bacterium. RNAcentral's name for it is "partial 16S ribosomal RNA". It matches the Rfam family "Bacterial small subunit ribosomal RNA", at positions 524 to 776 of the family's 1533-position model. The record is from RNAcentral.